GGAGAGGAAUAGAAUAGAAAGAGAGGAGAGGAGAGGAAGGAAUAGAAAGAGAGAGAGAGGAGUAGAAUAGAAAGAGAGGAGAGGAGAGGAAUAGAAUAGAAAGAGAGGAGAGGAGAGGAGAGGAAUAGAAUAGAAAGAGAGGAGAGGAGAGGAGAGGAAUAGAAAGAGAGGAGAGGAGAGGAAUAGAAAGAGAGGAGGGAGUAGAAUAGAAUAGAAAGAGAGGAGAGGAGAGGAAUAGAAAGAGAGGAGAGGAGUAGAAUAGAAAGAGAGGAGAGGAGAGGAGUAGAAUAGAAAGAGAGGAGAGGAGAGGAAUAGAAAGGGAGGAGAGGAGAGGAAUAGAAAGGGAGGAGAGGAGAGGAAUAGAAAGGGAGGAGAGGAAUAGAAAGAGAGGAGAGGAAUAGAAAGAGAGGAGGGGAGUGGAAUAGAAAGAGAGGAGAGGAAUAGAAAGGGGUCAAUGUUAUAACUGGAGAACUGGGGC
Molecule: long non-coding RNA, 478 nt
Organism: Oncorhynchus tshawytscha (Chinook salmon)
Lineage: Eukaryota; Metazoa; Chordata; Actinopteri; Salmoniformes; Salmonidae
Source: Ensembl